GGCAGGCUUGCUGCCAUCAUCACCAUGUCUCAGCUCAGCACUGAUACAGCUUGAGAACUUCUGGAAAACUUAAGUUGGUAGUUUCCCUUUGCAGAAAUGUGCUUGCUGAUUGUGAAUACUGUCCCUGGUCACCAGCAGCCACAGUCUGAAGAGAGCAGGAUCCUGAAUUCACAGUUGUCCCCAUCCCUUCCAAAUACAGACCCAAAGGAAGAGCUACCCCUGCCCCCCCACACACACUUCCCAAAUACAGCCUCAAGGAAGAGAGAUGUUGAAUUCUUCACAUGUGGAGGUGUCCAAAUGCAGCUUCAUGAUCUAGUGCUGACUGGCUCCAAUAGAAAUGGUGACUGAUGUCAUAGAAUCAGUGAAUACAGAUUCACCCUCUGUGGCUACAUAUG
Long non-coding RNA from Mastomys coucha (southern multimammate mouse), 395 nucleotides. RefSeq lists it as uncharacterized. The record is from RefSeq and is a predicted model, not a curated record. Lineage: Eukaryota; Metazoa; Chordata; Mammalia; Rodentia; Muridae. The transcript has 2 exons.